GGGCGCGUAGUUUAAUGGUAAAAUAUCUGGCUCCAGACCAGAAGCCGGGGGUUCGAUUCCCUCCGUGCCCA
Molecule: non-coding RNA, 71 nt
Organism: Candidatus Pacearchaeota archaeon CG1_02_32_132
Lineage: Archaea; Nanobdellati
Source: Rfam